GACGAACGCUGGCGGCGUGCUUAACACAUGCAAGUCGAACGGAAAGGCCCUGCUUUUGUGGGGUGCUCGAGUGGCGAACGGGUGAGUAACACGUGAGUAACCUGCCCUUGACUUUGGGAUAACUUCAGGAAACUGGGGCUAAUACCGGAUAGGAGCUCCUGCUGCAUGGUGGGGGUUGGAAAGUUUCGGCGGUUGGGGAUGUACUCGCGGCUUAUCAGCUUGUUGGUGGGGUAGUGGCUUACCAAGGCUUUGACGGGUAGCCGGCCUGAGAGGGUGACCGGCCACAUUGGGACUGAGAUACGGCCCAGACUCCUACGGGAGGCAGCAGUGGGGAAUAUUGCACAAUGGGCGGAAGCCUGAUGUAGCAACGCCGCGUGCGGGAUGACGGCCUUCGGGUUGUAAACAGCUUUCGACUGUGACGAAGCGUGAGUGACGGUAAUGGGUAAAGAAGCACCGGCUAACUACGUG
RNAcentral lists this ribosomal RNA (468 nucleotides) under uncultured bacterium. RNAcentral's name for it is "partial 16S ribosomal RNA". It matches the Rfam family "Bacterial small subunit ribosomal RNA", at positions 28 to 507 of the family's 1533-position model. The record is from RNAcentral.